GCGUGGAUGAUGUGGAUUAAUUCGAUGCAACGCGAAAACCUUACCUACCCUUGACAUGUCCGGAAUCCCGAAGAGAUUUGGGAGUGCUCGCAAGAGAACCGGAACACAGGUGCUGCAUGGCUGUCGUCAGCUCGUGUCGUGAGAUGUUGGGUUAAGUCCCGCAACGAGCGCAACCCUUGUCAUUAGUUGCCAUCAUUUGGUUGGGCACUCUAAUGAGACUGCCGGUGACAAACCGGAGGAAGGUGGGGAUGACGUCAAGUCCUCAUGGCCCUUAUGGGUAGGGCUUCACACGUCAUACAAUGGUCGGUACAGAGGGUUGCCAACCCGCGAGGGGGAGCUAAUCCCACAAAGCCGAUCGUAGUCCGGAUCGCAGUCUGCAACUCGACUGCGUGAAGUCGGAAUCGCUAGUAAUCGUGGAUCAGCAUGUCACGGUGAAUACGUUCCCGGGUCUU
Molecule: ribosomal RNA, 452 nt
Filed under: uncultured Rhodocyclaceae bacterium
Lineage: Bacteria; Pseudomonadati; Pseudomonadota; Betaproteobacteria; Rhodocyclales; Rhodocyclaceae
Description: bacterial SSU rRNA
Rfam family: Bacterial small subunit ribosomal RNA
Source: RNAcentral